UUGUCUGGGUUCGGUACCCAUAGUUACCGGAAGUUGGAUCAUGCCUUCAAUUUUGGUUUCCACAUUGUUGAAGCCAUAUAUAGGCAUGUCUGAGGGUGUUAACUGAGUAUCAGAAUACCCCAUCUUUUCAUAAGCAUCAUAGAACAAGAUAUCCACCGAGGCUCCAUUAUCAACGAGCACUCUCUUUACGGACGAGUUUCCAAUCACUGGGGUAAUUACUAAAGGGUCAUCAUGAGGAAAUUUCACCUUUUCAAGGUCGAUAUUGUCGAAUGCUAGAGCAUAAUCGAUUUUUGCCCGCUUCGGAGGUUCUCCAACUAUAUUCAUCACUUCCCUUGCAUAAGCCUUUCUUGAAUUGCUUGAAGUGCCUGCAGCCGUAGGUCCUCCGGAGAUUACAUUAAUAACAGGCCCUCGAGGCUGAGUUCUUUUGUCAUCGUUGUCUCUUCCGCGAUGAUCACUGUCUCGAUGAUUCUUGUCUCCGUCCUUGGUAAAUUUGGAUAACUUGCAUCUUCGGAUCAAGAACNNNNNNNNNNNNNNNNNNNNNNNNNNNNCGAGACCCCGGUGGUGGUCCGACUGCGUGGAACAUGGAUUUCAGAGAUGUAUUCCAGUCCUCCCAAGGAUGGCAUUAUAAGUUGAUGAGGCUUUAACGACCAAGAAAUUUACCAUGCACGUGGCUUGUCUGGGUUUGGUACCCAUAGUUACCGGAAGUUGGAUCAUGCCUUCAAUCUUGGUUUCCACAUUGUUGAAGCCAUAUAUAGGCAUAUCCGAGGGUGUCAGUUGAGUAUCGGAGUAUCCCAUCUUCUCAUAGGCAUGAAGUUGGAUCAUGCCUUCAAUUUUUGGUUUCCCACAUUGUUGAAGCCAUAUAUAGGCAUGUCAGAGGGUGUUAACUGAGUAUCAGAAUACCCCAUCUUUUCGUAAGCAUCAUAGAACAAGAUAUCUACCGAGGCUCCAUUAUCAACGAGCACUCUCUUUACGGACGAGUUUCCAAUCACUGGGGUAAUUACUAAAGGG
Molecule: long non-coding RNA, 1008 nt
Filed under: Daucus carota (carrot)
Lineage: Eukaryota; Viridiplantae; Streptophyta; Magnoliopsida; Apiales; Apiaceae
Description: long non-coding RNA (DCAR_LNC000113)
Source: RNAcentral